GGGAAUGUGACUCAGUGGUAGAGUGCUUGCCUUGCAUGCAUGAGGCCCUGGGUUCGAUUCCUCAGCACCA
This 70-nucleotide transfer RNA is filed under the name Dipodomys ordii (Ord's kangaroo rat). It matches the Rfam family "tRNA". From Rfam's summary of the family: Transfer RNA (tRNA) molecules are approximately 80 nucleotides in length. Their secondary structure includes four short double-helical elements and three loops (D, anti-codon, and T loops). Lineage: Eukaryota; Metazoa; Chordata; Mammalia; Rodentia; Heteromyidae. The record is from Rfam by way of RNAcentral.